This 543-nucleotide long non-coding RNA is filed under the name Limulus polyphemus (Atlantic horseshoe crab). RNAcentral describes it as "uncharacterized LOC111085135, transcript variant X2". The record is from RNAcentral. Lineage: Eukaryota; Metazoa; Arthropoda; Merostomata; Xiphosura; Limulidae.
GUGCCGGUCUCCCAGUGUUAUCGACAAGACCCACAUGCAUGGCGUUUAAUAUUAGCUGAUUUGUGUUUUCUAAGCAAAACUUACCGUAAUUGUCACAGUCCCUGAAAAAGAUAAUAUCCGGUCUACCCAUGGGAAGUAUAGCUGUAAAGAUGCAUCUUGUGCGUGAAGGUCGACAGCAGCGCCCUCCAAUGAUUGAAUGGGAAUAACAAAACACGUGUGGCUCUGGGUUCGGACUCCAGUGACCCUGCAUGAGGAUGUGCACAUGACUAUGAAGAACCAGGUCUAACGUCCACCCUCUACAACUGAAUCCUACUGAACAAAUGAAAAAUCCAGUUAACUCCUCCCCUCCUUUUUAGUUUCUUAAAGUUUCAACUUUUGAGUUUGGACGUUCUUGUGCAUAAGGAAAAAAUAGUGAUUUUCUAACAUAGUUUUUGAUUAGAAAACAUAUACCUUGUCAAAAGUGCGUUACUCAAAUUAGUAAAAAUUAUUUCAUAUUAAUAUAUUUGUACUAAUAUUUUUUGUUGUGACACAUAUUUCCCUUAA